UGGGGAAUUUUGGACAAUGGGGGAAACCCUGAUCCAGCCAUCCCGCGUGUGCGAUGAAGGCCUUCGGGUUGUAAAGCACUUUUGGCAGGAAAGAAACGUCGCGGGUUAAUACCCCGCGAAACUGACGGUACCUGCAGAAUAAGCACCGGCUAACUACGUGCCAGCAGCCGCGGUAAUACGUAGGGUGCAAGCGUUAAUCGGAAUUACUGGGCGUAAAGCGUGCGCAGGCGGUUCGGAAAGAAAGAUGUGAAAUCCCAGAGCUUAACUUUGGAACUGCAUUUUUAACUACCGGGCUAGAGUGUGUCAGAGGGAGGUGGAAUUCCGCGUGUAGCAGUGAAAUGCGUAGAUAUGCGGAGGAACACCGAUGGCGAAGGCAGCCUCCUGGGGAUAACACUGACGCUCAUGCACGAAAGCGUGGGGGAGCAAACAGGAUUAGAUACCCUGGUAGUCCACGCCCUAAACGAUGUCAACUAGCUGUUGGGGCCUUCGGGCCUUGGUAGCGCAGCUAACGCGUGAAGUUGGACCGCCUGGGGAGUACGGUCGC
Molecule: ribosomal RNA, 544 nt
Filed under: uncultured bacterium
Lineage: Bacteria
Description: partial 16S ribosomal RNA
Rfam family: Bacterial small subunit ribosomal RNA
Source: RNAcentral